RNAcentral lists this ribosomal RNA (370 nucleotides) under uncultured bacterium. Its description in RNAcentral is "bacterial SSU rRNA". It matches the Rfam family "Bacterial small subunit ribosomal RNA", at positions 524 to 898 of the family's 1533-position model. The record is from RNAcentral.
UACGGAGGAUCCAAGCGUUAUCCGGAAUCAUUGGGUUUAAAGGGUCCGUAGGCGGUUUUGUAAGUCAGUGGUGAAAUCUGGUCGCUUAACGAUCAAACGGCCAUUGAUACUGCAAGACUUGAAUUAUUGGGAAGUAACUAGAAUAUGUAGUGUAGCGGUGAAAUGCUUAGAUAUUACAUGGAAUACCAAUUGCGAAGGCAGGUUACUAUCAAUAUAUUGACGCUGAUGGACGAAAGCGUGGGGAGCGAACAGGAUUAGAUACCCUGGUAGUCCACGCCGUAAACGAUGGAUACUAGCUGUUGGGCGCAAGCUCAGUGGCUAAGCGAAAGUGAUAAGUAUCCCACCUGGGGAGUACGAACGCAAGUUUGAA